Molecule: ribosomal RNA, 204 nt
Filed under: Vibrio cholerae
Lineage: Bacteria; Pseudomonadati; Pseudomonadota; Gammaproteobacteria; Vibrionales; Vibrionaceae
Description: partial 23S ribosomal RNA
Rfam family: Bacterial large subunit ribosomal RNA
Source: RNAcentral
GUAGCUAAGUUCGGAAUUGAUAAGCGCUGAAAGCAUCUAAGCGCGAAGCGAGCCCUGAGAUGAGUCUUCCCUGAUACUUUAAGUAUCCUAAAGGGUUGUUCGAGACUAGAACGUUGAUAGGCAGGGUGUGUAAGCGUUGUGAGGCGUUGAGCUAACCUGUACUAAUUGCCCGUGAGGCUUAACCAUACAACACCCAAGGGGUUU